RNAcentral lists this ribosomal RNA (306 nucleotides) under Triticum aestivum (bread wheat). RNAcentral describes it as "partial small subunit ribosomal RNA". Lineage: Eukaryota; Viridiplantae; Streptophyta; Magnoliopsida; Poales; Poaceae. The record is from RNAcentral.
UGGACCACCAGAAUGAUCUCAUUGCAAGGUCAGCUACCAGAACUUCUUGCUGCUGAUCCUGGGAUGUUUCUGAACAUGCUCCCAAACAUGUUCAAUUUAUCCGCCCUAGGACAGGCUACUCGGCAUGCUCGGCGUGUUUACCUCGGUGGACUUCCUCCAAUCGCUAAUGAACAGACGGUUGCUCUAUUCUUCAAUCAAGUUAUGACCGCUAUUGGGGGAGACACAUUUGAUCCAGGUGAUGCAGUUCUUAAUAUGAAGCUGAUUUUUGAAUUCAUACAAAACAUCUUAGGUGGCAUAAUCAUCUAA